AUACUCAAACCACAAUGAUGAUACAUAUAACAUAACAACAUUGAUACAUUUUUUACCCCCAAAAACACUGCAAAUCAUCCGUAUGUGAAAAGAAGUACCUGGAGGCGAAUGCAAGCUUCUUGAGUUUGUGCUGCAGUCAACGUUUCUACUCUACUGUGAAUCUGUGAUGGACCCUUUGUCUGCGCUUCGCGAUUUCACCGUCCGAGGAGAACUCGACAAAAUCGUCCGAGUCGGCGACGAGUUCCGGUUCGGUUCCGAUUACAUCUUCCCCUCCUCCGCCGAGACGGCCUACCGAUCGAAGCAGGGCAACCUCUACACCCUCGAAACCCUACUUUUCUUCGUCAAAAACCACCACAUCAAGCACACCGAGUACCUCCAGAAUGCCCGUACCCACCGCCUCCCUACCGUCACCCUCCCCGAUCGCAAGCCCCUCCUGGACUACCUCCAGGGCAAGGUGCUUUCUGCCGACGCCAUCGAGUUCGUCGUCCCCCCAAACCCUAAACUUCCCGACCUCUUCGAUCGCGGCUUCGAAGAAUACCGCCCUGAAGACCCCUCCUUUCACCGUGCCCCCCUCGAUGUCGAUAUCGCCGACCGUAGGGUUAAAGAUACUCGUCUCAAGGCCGACGAGUAUGUAGAUUCGAUUGCAUUGAUCAAGAGUGUGGAGAAACCCUUGAAGGAUCGAGAAUCUUUGUUGGAGUGCCGGCAUCGAGAUUUUUACAGCGUGCUCGUCGCGGCGACGCGGCGAGAGGAGGAGCGGCAGAGAAUUGAGUCGCACCAGAGGAAGGAUGGAUUGGUCGCCAAGAGUCGGCUCAUGGGUGCGGACGAGAGGGGCUUGGGGUAUGGAGAUGAGUUAGGGUAUGAUGCGACGCCGAAGCCGAAGAUGCACUUAAAGGGGAGUAAAAUCGGGGAAGGAGUUCCGAUCAUUCUGGUGCCGAGCGCGUUUCAGACGCUGAUAACGAUUUAUAAUGUGAAGGAGUUCUUGGAGGAUGGAGUGUUUAUACCGACUGAUGUGAAGGUGAAGCAGAUGAAGGGGCCGAAGCCUGACUGUGUGACAGUGCAGAAGAAGCUUAGCAGGGAUAGGGUGGUGGCGGCUUAUGAGGUCAGGGAUAAGCCGUCCGCAUUGAAAGCGGAAGAUUGGGAUAGGGUGGUGGCAGUCUUUGUUUUGGGAAAGGAGUGGCAGUUCAAGGAUUGGCCUUUUAAGGAUCAUGUUGAAAUAUUUAACAAAAUUAUUGGUUUUUACAUGCGCUUUGAAGAUGACAGUGUGGAGUCGGCGAAGAAUGUGAAACAGUGGAAUGUAAAGAUAAUCUCUAUUAGUAAGAACAAGCGACACCAGGACAGAGCUGCAGCCCUAGAAGUGUGGGAUAGAUUAGAAGAAUUCGUGCGGUCACGAUCACAUUCUUGAAGUAUUAAAGUUUUAGAAUGCAAAUGAGGAUUAAAAGGCAGCAUUUGAUACUCCCUCAAUUUGGCAGUCCUAUUGUGGAGAUGAGUGUCUUAAAUUUCUACAAAUUAGUAUAGUGUGAUUGUUUUAAGGCGGAGGCUCAGGGUUACCAAAGAGCACUAACGCCUAGUGAACUGCAUACUGAUGUGAACAUUCCGAUACAUGGAUCACAGGAUGUAGCAGCGCAAGUAUGCAUUCCUCUCUUACAUGUCACAUCUGUAUUAUUGUUGUGUUAAUGGUAGAAACAUAAGGAAGAUGCUUAUUAGGAAGUUCUUUUAUCUUUUUCAGCAUGUAAAUUUUGCUUUUCCCUUGGCUCUCAAGUCAAUUGCAUCAAUGUUGAUGCUACAUUCUGUGUAGUGUGUUGCAUUUGUUUUUAACUCGAGGAUACUUAGUUUAUGAUUGGUGCACAAUUGAUUUAUUUUUUGCUCCUUGAUCUCAAGUCAAGUUCCUAGUGCACAUUCAUAAGCCUGGAAUCUUAUUUUAUUGAAAUUAGAAGAGAUCAUGGAGUCUCUUCUGGCAUACAAAGGUAAUAUCAACCAACCCAUAAAAGGGUCACCAAGAUUAAAUUAUUACAUGUGCCACUCAAUCUGAGUGAAGCUGAACAAUAUAAGGGGGAGAAAAAGAAUGAAUUACUAUCAUCUAGUAUUUGUAUGGCUGGAGGGGAACUGAAGACGCUUAACAGGUGAGAGAACUGGUGGCAAAGGUUGAAGCAUAUGAUGCAGCGAACAGCAGGAAGAAGAGCAUGGACAUUGACAACUUGGUUGAAGUUCUGGUUGCUGAGCCAGUAUCUGCGGGUGGUGCUGAGUUCAAUCCAGGUUCUACACACAUGUUUAGGUUAGCAUGACUAAUCUGGGGUAGUGCUUUAAUUUAAAGAAAUUUCAACCAUAAGCAAAUAGUAUGAGCAAUAUAACGACACAACCAUGAAAUAUAUUGUACCUGAUGGAAUGCUACCGGGGGUAUUUGGUGCCCCUGAAGGAGAGUUGGCUGGCGAGGCAGCUGCACAUUUACAAAUGCAUAGGUUAGCUGAUUUUGUUAGAAUGAUCCUUUGCACCUUUACAGAUGAAUGGAUUGGCUGAUUAUUAGAAUCAUCCUUGAAACAAUAUUCACUUUUCUGUAGUGCAUGAAGUUAGUACCAUCCCAGAUUGCAGUGGGGGUAGGGUUGGAGUAGGGCUGAAGUUAGAAUCCUAUACAGAAAAAUUCUUCCCCCACCCUACCAGCAACCACCCCCAAAAGAGAAAUAAAAGAGAGGAAGAAACUCUAUUACUAGUUUUUGGUGUUUUGUCUUAGAUUCAUCCAUAGCAGUUCUGGCAUAAACUAUGUCAGAAAUUUAUGAACAGGUGCGGAUGCAGUUGGCAAUGAGAAAAGGGAGAGAAAUGUUUUGGCAUUUUAUCUUAGAUGCAUCCAUAGCAGUUCUGGCAUAAACUAUGUCAGAAAUUUAUGAACAGGUGUGGACGCAGUUGACAAUGAGAAAAGGGGGAGAAAAAUGUAUGCAUUCUGUGAUUUACGCACCGUUACAGCUGCUGAGAGGUGGAGUUUGAACUUUGCAAGCAUUGGGGAGACCGAGGGCCAGAGUUUCAUUGAUAUUGAGCCCUGCAGCUGCUCCUUGGAGAUUGAGUGCUUCGCACAAGCACUUUGGCUGAGAUUGAACAACACCAGCAAGCUGCGUACAGCACCCUGUUGAUGGGGUCGAGGAGUUCCCCGUUAGGUAGCUAAGGCAUGGUGCCAAGCUGAUUAGCACGCUGGUGCAAUCAGACUGAGCCAUGGCUCCUGUACAGAGCAGGCUGAGUAGGACCAGGGCUAGACCCAUCUCAAUCCUUUUGUGUGCCAUUUCUGCAAAAAUUGGUGGUGGAAAUGGUUGUGGAGUGGGUGGAUUGGUU
Malania oleifera is the source of this 3315-nucleotide RNA transcript. It is a transcript of the gene named protein CDC73 homolog, with no coding region annotated. The record is from RefSeq and is a predicted model, not a curated record. Lineage: Eukaryota; Viridiplantae; Streptophyta; Magnoliopsida; Santalales; Ximeniaceae. The transcript has 5 exons.